GACGAACGCUGGCGGCGUGCUUAACACAUGCAAGUCGAACGGUGAAGCAGAGCUUGCUCUGUGGAUCAGUGGCGAACGGGUGAGUAACACGUGAGUAACCUGCCCUUGACUCUGGGAUAAGCGUUGGAAACGACGUCUAAUACCGGAUACGAGCUUAGACCGCAUGGUCAUCGGUUGGAAAGAUUUUUUGGUCAAGGAUGGACUCGCGGCCUAUCAGCUUGUUGGUGGGGUAAUGGCUCACCAAGGCUACGACGGGUAGCCGGCCUGAGAGGGUGACCGGCCACACUGGGACUGAGACACGGCCCAGACUCCUACGGGAGGCAGCAGUGGGGAAUAUUGCACAAUGGGCGCAAGCCUGAUGCAGCAACGCCGCGUGAGGGAUGACGGCCUUCGGGUUGUAAACCUCUUUUAGUAGGGAAGAAGCGAAAGUGACGGUACCUGCAGAAAAAGCACCGGCUAACUACGUG
This 467-nucleotide ribosomal RNA is filed under the name uncultured bacterium. RNAcentral describes it as "partial 16S ribosomal RNA". It matches the Rfam family "Bacterial small subunit ribosomal RNA", at positions 28 to 507 of the family's 1533-position model. The record is from RNAcentral.